This is an RNA transcript of Mobula hypostoma (lesser devil ray), 3086 nucleotides long. It is a transcript of the gene named zinc finger protein 239-like, with no coding region annotated. NCBI's taxonomy places the organism in Eukaryota, Metazoa, Chordata, Chondrichthyes, Myliobatiformes, Myliobatidae. The transcript has 3 exons. The record is from RefSeq and is a predicted model, not a curated record.
UCCGUCGCCCCCUCAAUCGUCAACUCCUCAUCAGAGCGGAACAAAUCCCAAAGUAAAUGUCCGCUUUCUGAUUUAUUUCCAUUUCCCUCCGAGGGAAGUUGGGGCGUUUGUGAAGCGUCUCCUGCGGCCAGAGUCUGAUGUAUCGCUGAGAGGUUUUAUGACGUGUCAGCGAUAUUUACAGAUUUGUUCACUGAGAUCAUUACAUUUGUCUUCAAUGCUUAAAUUUCGUUAGACCUGCGGUGAAAGAUUUAUUGGAGGAAAAGCCCAUAACUGUAAGCGAACCGCAGCUGAAGAUGAGGGAACAGCAACAAGUGAACCUGCCAAAGGACUGAGAACGUCAACUGGAGAGAACCCAAUGUUGCCUUGGGCUUGAGGGGGUAUUGCAGAAGGGAUGGGAGAGUCUGUCCUUCUUUCACGGUGAUCCAGACAGCGGGGCAGUGGUAUGGCCGACUUCAUGGCUUUAAAUUGCCCAGAGAUGGGGAACAACAUCAACAUCAGAGAUGGGGAACAACAUUCGGUCAAUAUUAAAGUAAUGUCUUACCAGAUGUCCCGUCUUCACCUCAGACUCCUUCCAGUAUUGGAGUUGGCCCACGACCAAGUCUUGCCAGUCUCCCUCUCUGUUGGAGGCUUGUUUCAUCAAGGUGUAGGCAAGGAACCCUGGGCUCUUUGGCUUGAAUCCAGGGCAAACCCUAACGGUGAUAUGGGGAACCACCAGUCCUGUCUGUCGCCAAAGGAAAUCUGGAACUUUGGCCAGAAAUGCACUGCCCUCUCUUCCUUUCACCUCUCCAAUCACCGUGACUGGGAACUUCUGUCCCUCGAGGAGUGUAUAAUAUUGGCUUUCCUCAACUGAGCACCCCGUAGGCUCAUAGCACAGAGUCACAUGAGAGUCAACCGCUGGCAGAAGGGGUUCAAAUGCAGUGGAGUCCAGGUUAAGUGCUCACCACUGGGGGUCAGUAACUGGGGAAACUGCCAGUUGUUCACUGGUCCCAGGGUCAUACCCUUGUCUGAGCAUAGAAUCUCGACUUCCAAGGUACAUAGCAAGUCUCCCCCAGACUGGUGGUGGCUGUAAAUGAAACAUCACACUGGAUCCCCUGGAAUUCCACCUGCACGUGAAUACAUGCGUUGCGUGCUUUGGUUCCCAUUUCUGAUCCCCAGAUAUAGCCUGCUUGCGUCGUUCUUCCCACUGAACAUAUUCACCUUUGAUAAUACUUCCCUUCGGGGUUCGUCCGGAUUCAAAAGCCGGGUCCCAGUAAUAUGUCAAAACUCGUCGCAUUCGAUUUUGUUCAUAGUCAGGCCGAUCCAUAUUAUUUGUUUUAAUCAUGUUGGCUAACUUAGUUGGUAAGCAUUGGAGCAGUAAGGCAUUAAACUGGGGGGGGGGGGACAAAUUCCCAUCAUUAAAGGCUUGGUCUCCUGCAAAAGUGCCAUAGCAGCCCACAAUUUGCUCCCAAUACUCUGGUCCCGAUUCUCCAGGCAUAGGUUUGCAUUCAAGUACUUUAAUGAUGUUUACAGAUUGCUGGAGAGCCCUUCCAAGGCUUGAAUAAUCUGGUCUGUCUGUUCAUUCCCAUUAUGGUUUCCCGUCUGUAACUCCUGAUAGGUUUGGUAUCUCAAUUCGGCCUUCCAUUUCCACCCCUCAUCAGCUGAGAGAAUCAUGCAGCAGAGACUGAAUAAAUCUUGCAAGGUUGCAUUAAACAUUUGUUUAGUACUGCGGACAUACUGAGCAAACUGUGCUGGUUGUUCUUUUCUAUCUGGGGCCUGAUUCAUGAUCAUUAUCAUUUCCUGAGGCUUCCAGGGUGCAUACACAGGAAUUACUGAGGGCUGUCCCUCCUCCUGCUCAUGGAUUGGGCAGCAUUCAGGUGGGCAAUGGUCUUUGUGGAGCCAUUAACUCUGCUGUUUUAUUGGAUUCUUCCCUCCCUGUCACGGAAUAAUCCUCGGUAUUCCCUUUCUGGAUCUCAGGGUAUAGGGACCUCCCCUUCCCUGCCGCCGCUGUUUUACCCGAGUGGCCACCAUAUCUGAGUACUGGGAGGAUUGGGGUUCGGGAGCACUGGGUCCACUUUGCCCCUGGUAAGCUGGGGGGGGGGUGGUACGGUGGGUGCCCACUCCUCAUCACGGUUAUUGUCCUCAAACAGGGUCGGUAUGCCAGACAUGGGUUCGGGAUCCCUUGUUUCCUUAUCAGUUCGAACUUUAGACUUGCGUUCCUGCCCUCCUCUCCUAUCUACAAGAUGUGUAUCCAGCUACAGCUUGUAACCCUGCACUUUAAGGAACUAGAACUUGAAAUGGAUGAAUUCUGGAUCAUCCAGAAGAUGGAGGGGUUGAUAGAUAUGACAUGAAGAAAGGUGAGUUACACUUAAGGUGCAGGACACUGGAAGCUGGGUGAAAGUCAGGAAGGAGAAUGAGAUUCAAUAGCCAUCGCAGAGUACUCUUGUGGCCAACCCCCACAACAACAAGUGGGCCUCUUUACAAAUUGUUGGAGGGAUUAUCUAGUUAACGCAACAGAACAAGAGGGGACUAAUAUCCUAGUGGUAAGGUUUGCUGGUGCCAGUGUGUGGGGGAGGGGUGAUGUGGUUAAAAUAGUUUGCAGGGAGAAUGGGAGCCAGAAUGACAGAACAGAGAGUGGAGAUGGUGAAUUGAAUUGAAUUGACUUUAUCACAUACAUCCUUCAUCUACACGAGGAGUAGAAAUCUUUACAUUACAUCUCCAUCUAAAUGUGCAAUGUGUAAUUUAUAGUAAUUUAUAAUAGAUAGUUUAUACAUCUGUCAGUCAAUAUAACAUAGAAAUGCAUUUGUAUCAGCAUGAAUUAAUCAGUCUGAUGGCCUGGUAGAAGAUGAUGCUCCAGAGCCUGUUGGUCCUUUGCUGUGGUACCGUUUCCUGGAUGGUAGCAGCAGGAACAGUUUGUGGUUGUGGUGAAUGGGGUCGCCAAUAUCCUUUGGGCCCUUUUUACACAACUGUCACUGUAAAUGUCCUGAAUAGUGGGAGGUUCACAUCUACAGGUGCUCUGGGCUGUCCGCACCACUCUCUGCAGGUUCCUGCGAUUAAGGGAAGUACAGUUCCCAUACCAGGCAAUGAUGCAGCCAGUCAGGAUGCUCUCA